Non-coding RNA from Albula glossodonta (roundjaw bonefish), 75 nucleotides. NCBI's taxonomy places the organism in Eukaryota, Metazoa, Chordata, Actinopteri, Albuliformes, Albulidae. The record is from the annotation of a GenBank genome assembly.
GACAUAGUGGCUCACUGUGUUAAGGCAUGGUGCUUAAAAACUCCAAGGUUGUAGGUUCAAACCCCACCCAUGACA